This 361-nucleotide ribosomal RNA is filed under the name uncultured bacterium. Its description in RNAcentral is "partial 16S ribosomal RNA". It matches the Rfam family "Bacterial small subunit ribosomal RNA", at positions 338 to 696 of the family's 1533-position model. The record is from RNAcentral.
CCUACGGGAGGCAGCAGUGAGGAAUCUUGGUCAAUGGGCGGGAGCCUGACCCAGCCAAGUCGCGUGAGGGAAGACGGUCCUACGGAUUGUAAACCUCUUUUGCCGGGGAGCAACGGGGUCCUUGCGAGGGCCCGCUGAGAGUACCCGGAGAACCAGCAUCGGCGAACUCCGUGCCAGCAGCCGCGGUAAUACGGAGGAUGCGAGCGUUAUCCGUCUUUAUUUGGUUAACAGGGUGCGUAGGCGGGCUGUUCAGUCAGCGGUCAAAUGUCGGGGCACAACCCCGGCCUGCCGUUGAAACUGGCGGCCUCGAGUGGGCGAGAGGUAAGCGGAAGGCGAGGGGUAGCGGUGAAAUGCAUAGAUA